This 33-nucleotide small RNA is filed under the name Plasmodium falciparum 3D7. RNAcentral's name for it is "Pfa-npcR7592". Lineage: Eukaryota; Apicomplexa; Aconoidasida; Haemosporida; Plasmodiidae. The record is from RNAcentral.
CUGACUUUUUUAUUGGAAAAUUUUUAACACAGA